This 486-nucleotide ribosomal RNA is filed under the name uncultured bacterium. Its description in RNAcentral is "partial 16S ribosomal RNA". It matches the Rfam family "Bacterial small subunit ribosomal RNA", at positions 30 to 507 of the family's 1533-position model. The record is from RNAcentral.
AUUGAACGCUGGCGGCAUGCCUUACACAUGCAAGUCGAACGGCAGCACGGGUUCUUGCACCUGGUGGCGAGUGGCGAACGGGUGAGUAAUACAUCGGAACAUGUCCUGUAGUGGGGGAUAGCCCGGCGAAAGCCGGAUUAAUACCGCAUACGAUCUACGGAUGAAAGCGGGGGACCUUCGGGCCUCGCGCUAUAGGGUUGGCCGAUGGCUGAUUAGCUAGUUGGUGGGGUAAAGGCCUACCAAGGCGACGAUCAGUAGCUGGUCUGAGAGGACGACCAGCCACACUGGGACUGAGCCACGGCCCAGACUCCUACGGGAGGCAGCAGUGGGGAAUUUUGGACAAUGGGCGAAAGCCUGAUCCAGCAAUGCCGCGUGUGUGAAGAAGGCCUUCGGGUUGUAAAGCACUUUUGUCCGGAAAGAAAUCCUUGGCUCUAAUACAGUCGGGGGAUGACGGUACCGGAAGAAUAAGCACCGGCUAACUACGUG